CCUACGGGAGGCAGCAGUAGGGAAUUUUGCGCAAUGGGCGAAAGCCUGACGCAGCAACGCCGCGUGAUCGAGACGCCCUUCGGGGUGUAAAGAUCUGUCAGUGGGGACGAAACUUGACGGUACCCACAGAGGAAGCACCGGCUAACUCCGUGACAGCAGCCGCGAUAAUACGGGGGGUGCAAGCGUUGUCCGGAAUCAUUGGGCGUAAAAAGUUCGUAGGCGGCACGUAAAGUCUGGUGUUAAAGGCAGAGGCUCAACUUCUGUACGGCACUGGAUACUUGCGAGCUAGAGUGCGGUAGAGGUAAAGGGAAUUCCUGGUGUAGCGGUGAAAUGCUUAGAUAUCAGGAGGAACAUCGGUGGCGUAAGCGCUUUACUGGGCCGUAAUUGACGCUGAGGAACGAAAGCCAGGGUAGCAAAUGGGAUUAGAUACCCCUGUAGUC
RNAcentral lists this ribosomal RNA (440 nucleotides) under uncultured bacterium. RNAcentral describes it as "partial 16S ribosomal RNA". It matches the Rfam family "Bacterial small subunit ribosomal RNA", at positions 338 to 795 of the family's 1533-position model. The record is from RNAcentral.